Molecule: long non-coding RNA, 262 nt
Filed under: Salvia miltiorrhiza (redroot sage)
Lineage: Eukaryota; Viridiplantae; Streptophyta; Magnoliopsida; Lamiales; Lamiaceae
Description: long non-coding RNA (SMIL_LNC014066)
Source: RNAcentral
UGCGUUUCAGACGAACGCCACAUGUUCGAUAAUUUGUCUCAGAGAACAGCACCGCCGCCCUUCGCCUAGCCAGAGUUGGCGCCAACGCCACAAAGAAUAUAGUGUAUAGCUAGGUCAAGCAGCUGCAGCAGCUCUUGCACAAUUGUAUGCCCGGUUUUCAUUCAAUUGUGCCUUCUAUGAACUUCCUCAACUUGUCCCUUGCAGAAUCUCAGUCUCGGUCUUUGACAAGAAACUGGAGAAACAAUGGUUUGCUUGUUUUGCU